RNAcentral lists this ribosomal RNA (424 nucleotides) under Verrucomicrobiota bacterium. RNAcentral describes it as "Verrucomicrobia bacterium partial 16S ribosomal RNA". It matches the Rfam family "Bacterial small subunit ribosomal RNA", at positions 355 to 776 of the family's 1533-position model. Lineage: Bacteria; Pseudomonadati; Verrucomicrobiota. The record is from RNAcentral.
UGAGGAAUAUUGGUCAAUGGACGCAAGUAUGAACCAGCCAAGUAGCGUGCAGGAUGACGGCCCUAUGGGUUGUAAACUGCUUUUAUAUGGGGAUAAAGUGGGGAACGUGUUCCCUUUUGCAGGUACCAUAUGAAUAAGGACCGGCUAAUUCCGUGCCAGCAGCCGCGGUAAUACGGAAGGUUCGGGCGUUAUCCGGAUUUAUUGGGUUUAAAGGGAGCGUAGGCCGUUUGGUAAGCGUGUUGUGAAAUGUAGGAGCUCAACUUCUAGAUUGCAGCGCGAACUGUCAGACUUGAGUGCGCACAACGUAGGCGGAAUUCAUGGUGUAGCGGUGAAAUGCUUAGAUAUCAUGAAGAACUCCGAUUGCGAAGGCAGCUUACGGGAGCGCAACUGACGCUGAAGCUCGAAGGUGCGGGUAUCGAACAGG